AUAGCGUAUAUUAAAGUUGUUGCAGUUAAAAAGCUCGUAGUUGGAUUUCUGUUAAUAAUUUAUAUAAAAUAUUUUGAUGAAUAUUUAUAUAAUAUUAACAUAAUUCAUAUUACUAUUUUUUUUUUUAGUAUAUGAAAUUUUACUUUGAGAAAAUUAGAGUGCUUAAAGCAGGCAUAUGCCUUGAAUACUCCAGCAUGGAAUAAUAUUAAAGAUUUUUAUCUUUUUUAUUGGUUCUAAGAUAAGAAUAAUGAUUAAUAGGGACAGUUGGGGGCAUUUGUAUUUAACAGUCAGAGGUGAAAUUCUUAGAUUUGUUAAAGACAAACUAAUGCGAAAGCAUUUGCCAAGGAUGUUUUCAUUAAUCAAGAACGAAAGUUAGGGGAUCGAAGACGAUCAGAUACCGUCGUAGUCUUAACCAUAAACUAU
This 423-nucleotide ribosomal RNA is filed under the name Cryptosporidium hominis. RNAcentral's name for it is "partial small subunit ribosomal RNA". It matches the Rfam family "Eukaryotic small subunit ribosomal RNA", at positions 594 to 1040 of the family's 1831-position model. The record is from RNAcentral. Lineage: Eukaryota; Apicomplexa; Conoidasida; Eucoccidiorida; Cryptosporidiidae.